GUAGCAAUACUUAGUGGCAGACGGGUGAGUAACAUGUGGGUAUCUACCCUUUGGCCUGGAAUAACACGAGGAAACUUGUGCUAAUACCGGAUAAGUCUUUACGGAGAAAGCUUUAUGCACCAUUGGAUGAGCCCGCACUUGAUUAGUUUGUUGGUAGGGUAAUGGCCUACCAAGACUAUGAUCAAUAGCUGAUUUGAGAGGAUGAUCAGCCACAUUGGGACUGAGACACGGCCCAAACUCCUACGGGAGGCAGCAGUGGGGAAUCUUGCACAAUGGAGGAAACUCUGAUGCAGCGAUGCCGCGUGAGUGAAGAAGGCCUUUGGGUUGUAAAGCUCUUUCGUCGGGGAAGAAAAUGACUGUACCCGAAUAAGAAGGUCCGGCUAACUUCGUGCCAGCAGCCGCGGUAAUACGAAGGGACCUAGCGUAGUUCGGAAUUACUGGGCUUAAAGAGUUCGUAGGUGGUUGAAAAAGUUGGUGGUGAAAUCCCAGAGCUUAACUCUGGAACUGCCAUCAAAACUUUUCAGCUAGAGUAUGAUAGAGGAAAGCAGAAUUUCUAGUGUAGAGGUGAAAUUCGUAGAUAUUAGAAAGAAUACCAAUUGCGAAGGCAGCUUUCUGGAUCAUUACUGACACUGAGGAACGAAAGCAUGGGUAGCGAAGAGGAUUAGAUACCCUCGUAGUCCAUGCCGUAAACGAUGUGUGUG
This 701-nucleotide ribosomal RNA is filed under the name uncultured bacterium. RNAcentral describes it as "bacterial SSU rRNA". It matches the Rfam family "Bacterial small subunit ribosomal RNA", at positions 82 to 817 of the family's 1533-position model. The record is from RNAcentral.